CGUAGGGCGCGAGCGUUGUCCGGAAUUAUUGGGCGUAAAGAGCUCGUAGGCGGCUGGUCGCGUCUGUCGUGAAAUCCUCUGGGCUUAACUGGGGGGCGUUGCGGUGGGUACGGGGCCGGCUUGAGUGCGGUAGGGGAGGACUGGAACUCCUGGUGUAGCGGUGGAAUGCGCAGAUAUCAGGAAGAACACCAGUGGCGAAGGCGGGUCUCUGGGCCGUUACUGACGCUGAGGAGCGAAAAGCGUGGGGGAGCGAACAGGAUU
Molecule: ribosomal RNA, 261 nt
Filed under: uncultured bacterium
Lineage: Bacteria
Description: partial 16S ribosomal RNA
Rfam family: Bacterial small subunit ribosomal RNA
Source: RNAcentral